This 254-nucleotide ribosomal RNA is filed under the name uncultured bacterium. Its description in RNAcentral is "partial 16S ribosomal RNA". It matches the Rfam family "Bacterial small subunit ribosomal RNA", at positions 524 to 776 of the family's 1533-position model. The record is from RNAcentral.
UACGGAGGGUGCAAGCGUUGUUCGGAAUUAUUGGGCGUAAAGGGCGUGUAGGCGGCCUCGUAAGUCUGAUGUGAAAGCCCCGGGCUCAACCUGGGAAGUGCAUUGGAAACUGCGAGACUUGAGUACGGGAGAGGGCAGUGGAAUUCCUAGUGUAGGAGUGAAAUGCGUAGAUAUCGGGAGGAACACCAGUGGCGAAGGCGACUACCUGGCCUGUUUCUUGACGCUGAGGCGCGAAAGCUAGGGGAGCAAACGGG